This 202-nucleotide unclassified non-coding RNA is filed under the name Hevea brasiliensis (rubber tree). Lineage: Eukaryota; Viridiplantae; Streptophyta; Magnoliopsida; Malpighiales; Euphorbiaceae. The record is from RNAcentral.
ACAAAACCCAGAGACAUUUCCAUGGUAUGGGAACAUAUUAUAAGGGCUGAAAUGCUGUCAUUCUGGCACAUAAAAUUCAAGGAAUGCAAUAAUUAACAAAUAAAACAAGAAUUGGACUCGACAACUUAAAACUACCGAGCUAUUAAUUAGUUCCCUCUACUCAUCAACAUUCACCAACUCAUACUCGACUAAAGAAAGGUUG